Molecule: long non-coding RNA, 311 nt
Organism: Drosophila pseudoobscura
Lineage: Eukaryota; Metazoa; Arthropoda; Insecta; Diptera; Drosophilidae
Exons: 3
Source: RefSeq, a predicted model, not a curated record
UUAUCAGUGGUCCGUACUUGAGUUUCAAUUUUUGCCACAUUUCGCCCCCGCGCACGCUUCCACUUUGGGACAGCCAACUUUAAAGUGUAAUCCCUCGGAGUUGUCUGCGAAGCGCCAAAAGUCCUAGGACCCACACAUUUGCAAUGCAUCUCCAAAGGCCACGAAGGGAGGGGUGCUGGGCUGCUGCUGUGUGGCAGAGGGAUAAUCGUAUCGUUCGAUGGUCGUCGUAUAAUAAAUAUCGUAUAGGAGAGAUCUUUGUGGGUGCUCAACCGAUCAGAGAACGAGAAGGAAGUGAACUGCGAGGAUGAUAA